Schizosaccharomyces pombe (fission yeast) is the source of this 1003-nucleotide non-coding RNA. NCBI's taxonomy places the organism in Eukaryota, Fungi, Ascomycota, Schizosaccharomycetes, Schizosaccharomycetales, Schizosaccharomycetaceae. The record is from the annotation of a GenBank genome assembly.
UUCGAGGCAUUUCCAUGCUCAUUCCAACCGUAUAUUAAAACACUUCCUUUCUUUGUCCUUAAAAUAUUGUGCUCAGUUCCACUGGCGAUUUGGACGAUAUCACUUGCUUUUGUAUGGGCCUUCUGAGCACGAUCACAACGACCAAAAGCAUAGACACAGCCUUCAGUACUUAAUAGACUCAAGGUAGACCAGUUUGCUGAUAUAGAGCAGAUGGAAGAAGACAAUUCACUGUUAUUUGCUUGCCAAGCAUCACAUUCUGCUGCUACAUUCCACUUCUCCCCUCCUAAAACAAUUACAUGUCCUGUUUCUUGCAAUACUGCACUGAACUGUACACCACAUACAACAGCUUGAGCAUGUUCAAUACGCCCGAGAAAUGAAACCUUGUUAACUGUUUUCAUAACUACCGGUCCAAGUUGUCCUUUGCGGCCAUCUCCACAACCAUACAAGUUCCCUUCAUUUGUAACACAAAUCCAGUGUCUUAAUCCAGCCGAGAUAUCAAUAAUGAACUCUUUAUCGUCAAGGUAAGGAAUGUCAAUUUCCCUCAAACCUUGACUAUUACUGCGAUUCCCUUGACCCAAUUCACCGGAAAGUCCUUCACCACAUGAACAAACACGUCUUCGAUCAGCAUGUACUAUAACGCUGAAUUCCCAACCACAAGUCAGGAAAACCCAACGCUCAUGACUAACACGGGUGAAUAUCCGUAAAUAGUCUGGACUUAGGGGAUUGUAAAGAGGUUCUUUCACUUCAUAUCCACAUUGUCCCUUGCGAUUAUCACCACAAGCCCAUAGUUGAGAAUCCUCAUCUAACAAUAGGGUGUGGUUUCCACCACAUGAGAUUUUUUCAAUUGCACGGUCAAAUGGCACUAUCUGUGGGCUGUAAACAUCCUCAUCAUUGUUCAAACCAAGUUGGAAGUUACCAUUUGAACCUAAAGAUAGCAGCAUAGAAAUAUUAGUUGUGGGUUUCUAAAGUGGUGGCACAAUGGAGGUUUGUAAAAUUUCAUCUU